Molecule: long non-coding RNA, 793 nt
Filed under: Oryza sativa Indica Group (long-grained rice)
Lineage: Eukaryota; Viridiplantae; Streptophyta; Magnoliopsida; Poales; Poaceae
Description: lncRNA OsZS97_03G041320
Source: RNAcentral
AUGAGCAAGGAAAAACACCGUCUAGGCAAGCUUGUUCAAGCACUCCUUAAUCAGCACGAUCAACAAGUUGCAUUUUUUUCUAAGACUUUAGUCCAAUUGAGGAUAGAUCAAGAAGAGGAAGGAGCUCGCAUUGUACCAGGGCAGAGAGGACUGCCGACGCUGAUAUUGUCGUCGGCGACGCGGGCGCGGGUGUUCCAGAGGUGGCACGGAGGAGAUUGGUGGGGUGGCCCUCGCUGGCGACGCGGAUGGGAGAGAUCGGCGUGGGCGGAGCAGAUUGGUGAGGGAGUACCGACGGUGGCACGGAGGAGAUCGGCACGGUCGGAGCAAAUCGGUGGAGAGAUCGGCUCGGGCGAAGGAGAUCGGAGGACGACGACCCUGGCAACUCCUGUUCAGCCGUGGUGGAAGACGGCGAUGGCGGCGACGAGGACGGCGGGGGCGAUCGAUGGCGGCGGCAGUGGGGGAGCGAUCUGGUGGAGGACGGCGUGGGCGGCGGGGAGGAUCGAUGGCGGCGGCAGCGCGGGACGGUGGGACGGCGGGGAGGAACAGCUAGUCGAGGAGGACGGCGAGGGCGAGCGGGCGAGAGGAAGGACGGCGAAAAGCGAGCGGGCGCGCGGAAGCCGGAAAGCCAGGGCGGAGAGAAGCGGAUGCAGCGCGAUUGGAGCGCGAUGGUGUGGACGGAUAGGAGCGUUUGGAGCGUCGAUUUGGUGGGAGGAUCCUCCGAUGAAUCUCAACCCUACGAUCGUUCAGGACUCACCACCACCACUACAGUUUUUUUUUAAGUAGUAUAGAUUUC